Molecule: ribosomal RNA, 468 nt
Filed under: uncultured bacterium
Lineage: Bacteria
Description: partial 16S ribosomal RNA
Rfam family: Bacterial small subunit ribosomal RNA
Source: RNAcentral
GACGAACGCUGGCGGCGUGCUUAACACAUGCAAGUCGAACGGAAAGGCCCUGCUUUUGUGGGGUGCUCGAGUGGCGAACGGGUGAGUAACACGUGAGUAACCUGCCCUUGACUUUGGGGUAACUUCAGGAAACUGGGGCUAAUACCGGAUAGGAGCUCCUGCUGCAUGGUGGGGGUUGGAAAGUUUCGGCGGUUGGGGAUGGACUCGCGGCUUAUGAGCUUGUUGGUGGGGUAGUGGCUUACCAAGGCUUUGACGGGUAGCCGGCCUGAGAGGGUGACCGGCCACAUUGGGACUGAGAUACGGCACAGACUCCUACGGGAGGCAGCAGUGGAGAAUAUUGCACAAUGGGCGGAAGCCUGAUGCAGCAACGCCGCGUGCGGGAUGACGGCCUUCGGGUUGUAAACCGCUGUCGCCUGUGACGAAGCGUGAGUGACGGUAAUGGGUAAAGAAGCACCGGCUAACUACGUG